RNAcentral lists this transfer RNA (73 nucleotides) under Camelus bactrianus (Bactrian camel). It matches the Rfam family "tRNA". Rfam says of the family: Transfer RNA (tRNA) molecules are approximately 80 nucleotides in length. Their secondary structure includes four short double-helical elements and three loops (D, anti-codon, and T loops). Further hydrogen bonds mediate the characteristic L-shaped molecular structure. tRNAs have two regions of fundamental functional importance: the anti-codon, which is responsible for specific mRNA codon recognition, and the 3' end, to which the tRNAs corresponding amino acid is attached (by aminoacyl-tRNA synthetases). tRNAs cope with the degeneracy of the genetic code in two manners: having more than one tRNA (with a specific anti-codon) for a particular amino acid; and 'wobble' base-pairing, i.e. permitting non-standard base-pairing at the 3rd anti-codon position. RNAcentral also lists the same sequence under 3 other names. Lineage: Eukaryota; Metazoa; Chordata; Mammalia; Artiodactyla; Camelidae. The record is from Rfam by way of RNAcentral.
GGGACAGUAUGCUCAAUGGUAGAGCACGUGCUUAGCAUGCACGAGAUUCUGGGUUCAAUCCCCAGCACCUCCA